This 66-nucleotide transfer RNA is filed under the name Polypsocus corruptus. Its description in RNAcentral is "tRNA-Ile". The record is from RNAcentral. Lineage: Eukaryota; Metazoa; Arthropoda; Insecta; Psocodea; Amphipsocidae.
AAUGAAGUGCCUGAUUAAAAGGAUUACCUUGAUAGGGUAAAUAAUAUACUAUUUGUAUCUUUAUUA